UGGGGACAUCUGGCAGCUAAGGAGGAUUACUACAGGCUGUUACAUCAGGCUGAUGUGGUGGUUUCCACUGCAGACCAUGAGUUUUAUGGGGUCUCCAUGUUGGAGGCAGUUUACUGUGGAUGUUACCCUCUCUGUCCUAACAGACUGGUCUAUCCUGAAAUCUUCCCCAAGGAGUGCCUGUAUAACACACCACAACAGCUGAAGAAAAGGUUGAGGGAUUUCUGCAGAAGACCACAGCUAGCAAGGAA
Branchiostoma belcheri (Belcher's lancelet) is the source of this 248-nucleotide long non-coding RNA. RefSeq lists it as uncharacterized. The transcript is spliced from 3 exons. Lineage: Eukaryota; Metazoa; Chordata; Leptocardii; Amphioxiformes; Branchiostomatidae. The record is from RefSeq and is a predicted model, not a curated record.